This 492-nucleotide ribosomal RNA is filed under the name uncultured bacterium. RNAcentral describes it as "partial 16S ribosomal RNA". It matches the Rfam family "Bacterial small subunit ribosomal RNA", at positions 29 to 507 of the family's 1533-position model. The record is from RNAcentral.
AGUGAACGCUGGCGGUAGGCCUAACACAUGCAAGUCGAACGGCAGCACAGUAAGAGCUUGCUCUUACGGGUGGCGAGUGGCGGACGGGUGAGGAAUACAUCGGAAUCUACUUUUUCGUGGGGGAUAACGUAGGGAAACUUACGCUAAUACCGCAUACGACCUACGGGUGAAAGCAGGGGAUCUUCGGACCUUGCGCGAUUGAAUGAGCCGAUGUCGGAGUAGCUAGUUGGCGGGGUGAAGGCCCACCAAGGCGACGAUCCGUAGCUGGUCUGAGAGGAUGAUCAGCCACACUGGAGCUGAGACACGGUCCAGACUCCUACGGGAGGCAGCAGUGGGGAAUAUUGGACAAUGGGCGCAAGCCUGAUCCAGCCAUACCGCGUGGGUGAAGAAGGCCUUCGGGUUGUAAAGCCCUUUUGUUGGGAAAGAAAAGCAGCAGGUUAAUACCCCGCUGUUCUGACGGUACCCAAAGAAUAAGCACCGGCUAACUUCGUG